AUUGAACGCUGGCGGCAUGCCUAACACAUGCAAGUCGAACGAGUGGCGGACGGGUGAGUAAUGUCUGGGAAACUGCCUGAUGGAGGGGGAUACAUACUGGAAACGGUAGCUAAUACCGCAUACCAUCAUAUGUGCCCAGAUGGGAGUAGUUAGUAGGUGGGGUAACGGCUCACCUAGGCGACGAACCCUAGCGGGUCUGAGAGGAUGACAAGCCACACGGGAACUGAGACACGGCCCAGACUCCUACGGGAGGCAGCAGUGGGGAAUAUUGCACAAUGGGCGAAAGCCGGAUGCAGCCAUGCCGCGUGUAUGAAGAAGGCCUUAGGGUUGUAAAGUACUUUCAGCGGGGAGGCGUUACCCGCAGAAGAAGCACCGGCUAACUCCGUGCCAGCAGCCGCGGUAAUAC
This 406-nucleotide ribosomal RNA is filed under the name uncultured bacterium. RNAcentral describes it as "partial 16S ribosomal RNA". It matches the Rfam family "Bacterial small subunit ribosomal RNA", at positions 30 to 526 of the family's 1533-position model. The record is from RNAcentral.